RNAcentral lists this ribosomal RNA (498 nucleotides) under uncultured bacterium. RNAcentral describes it as "partial 16S ribosomal RNA". It matches the Rfam family "Bacterial small subunit ribosomal RNA", at positions 28 to 507 of the family's 1533-position model. The record is from RNAcentral.
GACGAACGCUGGCGGCGUGCCUAAUACAUGCAAGUCGAACGAGAGCGACCGGUGCUUGCACUGGUCAAUCUAGUGGCGAACGGGUGAGUAACACGUGGGUAACCUGCCCAUCAGAGGGGGAUAACAUUCGGAAACGGAUGCUAAAACCGCAUAGGUCUUCGAACCGCAUGGUUUGAAGAGGAAAAGAGGCGCAAGCUUCUGCUGAUGGAUGGACCCGCGGUGCAUUAGCUAGUUGGUGAGGUAACGGCUCACCAAGGCCGUGAUGCAUAGCCGACCUGAGAGGGUGAUCGGCCACAUUGGGACUGAGACACGGCCCAAACGCCUACGGGAGGCAGCAGUAGGGAAUCUUCCGCAAUGGACGCAAGUCUGACGGAGCAACGCCGCGUGAGUGAAGAAGGUGUUCGGAUCGUAAAACUCUGUUGUUAGAGAAGAACAAGUGCUAGAGUAACUGUUAGCGCCUUGACGGUAUCUAACCAGAAAGCCACGGCUAACUACGUG